GGCAGCGGGGGCCGCUGUCCAUGGUGUUGAAACAGAGCCCCAAACCCCAGUCUCAUCUUGCCCGGCCUCGCCUCUGGACUUUUUUCACCCCACUCCCAUCUUCUCCCUAGAAGGGUUGGGGCAUACUUCUGCCCUCCUCCUUUGAUUUCCUGGAUGAGAAGUGGUCGGAUCUGACUUCCAGCUCCCUGCAGCUUGUCUGCAUUCUAUGGGGGAGGGCUCCUCAGGUUUAUGGAUCCCAAAUCUUCCUUCAGAUUCCCCUUUGUACCAGACUGGCUCCACCCAGAGCCAAGAGAGGAUCACCAGCCUUCUGAGGCCUGCUCUUUUCUCUGGCUGAGCACUUCCAUUCUGACUCCCCUCAGAUCUCUCCCCAGGCAGGUAAGGUGGGGGUGUGUGCCCCAUGCCUUGGAUCAGAUCAGCUUUCUGUGCAACCCCAAAACAGCCUACAGUAUUUGCUCUUGGGAUCCCGAGCACCCACCCACGGAGCCUAAGGCUCACCCCUUCUUCCAUUCCCAGGUACCCGUGGCCCCCAGCUCUGGCCCGCAGGAGGAAGGGUCGCCUUGGGCAAGGGGUGGGUGCUGGAUGAGAAAAGACUUCCUGCCCUGCCCGUCCUCCUGCGUCAGCCUGGUGGGGACCUUCUUGGUGGCCCUGAAGCCCCUGAAGGUUCUGUAGAAGUCAACUCACGGCUGCUAGACCCCCGCUGGGUCCUUUUGGCUCCUCAGGUGCCGGCCGGCCUCACCGCACCCCAGCCCAGCCAUACCCGAACCGUCUCUGCGCCGCUGCCCACGCUGCCGCUUCCGCCCAGCACACCGAGAAUUUGGGUUUGUGGAUUCGUUUAUUUGCCAGCUCCACGGAUCGGGGCAGGGGCUCCUGGCUCCCAGCGGAGGGCGCGAGGAGAUGCGUGGCCGAUUGCUCAGUGCUCCGGGUUCCGAGCUACUGCCUCCAUGCGCACAAAAGCAACUUGGAGGCCCCAGGUGUUCCAAGGGCACCUAGUUUCCACCAGGACUGGGUGAGGAGCAAGGAGAAAGCAGAUGACCAAAAUUGGGCCUAUGGGGAGUCCCAGAAUGUGGCCCAUCAGAGGUCUGGCAGCCUCAGGACAGGAGCCUCUGGGGCUGGAAGCCUGACAGCCAAGGCGCAGAAAAGUGGUCAGCCCCCUGGCUGCAGCAGGACAGCAAAUGGGGGAGCGACAGAGUACCCAGCUCAGGUAGGGCUCAGGUUGGGGCCCAGGGAGGGCUCAGGUAGAGCAUUCGUGGAGGCUGUGCCUGUUUUCUCUUUGAACUGGGCACAGGAAGGCUUAUCUGACCACACUGGCAGGGUCUGUGAGUUUCUCUUGCUGAGAGAACUGAAGCUAAGAUGCUGCAGUGACCCCUGGGGCCUGUGGCUGGUCAGGGAGCUCAGCACACAGGCCCAUAUGCCCAAGCAUCCUCUCCCGGGUGUGGUUGGUCCUGAGUGCCCAGAGACCUUUUCCUCCAUCUCGGUGGCAGGCAAGCUGGUAUGUGGCUUCCCCUCCACCUGUCUCCUCUGGAUGCCACCUGCAUCCUUGAGCUGCCCUUUAGUCAGUGUGGGUGGGUUCCUGCCCACCUCCAUGCCAGGCACCCACCUCCGCCCUGGCCCAGGUUGGAGGUUGGGCAGGAUGGGGAGAAGCAGAGUGUGCAGGCUGGUGGGGGGUCAACCCAGUGCUCAGAGCCCACGGGGCAGUGAGCAGGACUCAGCACCAUGCGCUUGAUGAGCUCAAGAGACAGCUUGCCCAGACUCGGAGUGGGAGGGCCCUGACUUCCCCAGUGGCCCCAAAGAGCAUGCAUGGAGGCAGAGGGUGGGCUCUUGACGGGUGGACCUGGACCACAGAGGGAGGGAUGCAAGGGAAGCAGGCACACAACCCACCCUCCUCUGAGGGCUGCUCAAGACUUUCCAGAGGAGUCCUGCCCUCUGGGCAUCCAGCUGGGAUGCCUGGCCACACACCCAGAGGUGAUGGUCCACAGUCACCCCCACCCCCAGGCCCCUCCCACAGAGCUCCUUUGUAGCGGUUGUGGCCCUUGCCCUUGGGGUAUAUAACCCUUGCCUCAGGCUCUGCUUUGUGGGGACCUUGACUGAGACAAGCUGGGGAUCUGGGAAAUGGCUGGGGUGACACUGGAGAGGCUGGCCAAGGCUGGGGUCACUGCUGUGUCUCUGCCCCAGUCAGAUAUUGUGAAGUAAGAGAGGGGGUGGACAGGUGGACGCUUCCUUCAAAAAGUCCACUUCACUGUGCUUGGGCCCUGGGUGGGAACUGGAAUCCUGCGAGGGGACCAGAUGGCCGACUGAAAGACUGCGGGGACGCCCUCUGCCAGGGCUAGGUCUGGCAAGGGCAAAGGGGUCUAACCCUGUGGACCCCCUCCCCUAGGCUGGGUGGAGAGCCUCAGAGCCUGCCCCCAGACGGCCAGCGAUCAAAGAGAAGAGUGGAUCCAGGAAAAAUCGAGCUGCCAAGUGGUUGAUUGGCUUUGCCUCCAUCAGCCUGAUGAAUAUUCAUGAGGUGCGCUCUCUUCGUGAGCCAGAGCUCUGCGUUCAGCCUGUGCGCCUGCGUGUGCGCCUGCGUGAGUGCGUGUGUGCGGUGCAGGUCACACACGCCUCUUCCGCUGCGUGCAGGACGCCAGCCCGCGCUUGGCCCGGAUUGGCCCAGCGGCGGUCUAGGAGAUGCCAUGGCAACCCCUGGCUGGUUAUCUGGCGGGUCUCCCCUUCUUCCCUUUUCACUU
Molecule: long non-coding RNA, 2723 nt
Filed under: Bos indicus x Bos taurus (hybrid cattle)
Lineage: Eukaryota; Metazoa; Chordata; Mammalia; Artiodactyla; Bovidae
Description: lncRNA (ENSBIXG00000003721.1)
Source: RNAcentral